RNAcentral lists this transfer RNA (75 nucleotides) under Pseudomonadales bacterium. RNAcentral's name for it is "tRNA-Gln". It matches the Rfam family "tRNA". Rfam says of the family: Transfer RNA (tRNA) molecules are approximately 80 nucleotides in length. Their secondary structure includes four short double-helical elements and three loops (D, anti-codon, and T loops). Lineage: Bacteria; Pseudomonadati; Pseudomonadota; Gammaproteobacteria; Pseudomonadales. The record is from RNAcentral. RNAcentral also lists the same sequence under 14 other names.
UGGGGUGUCGCCAAGUGGUAAGGCACCGGGUUUUGAUCCCGGCAUUCGCAGGUUCGAAUCCUGCCACCCCAGCCA